This 510-nucleotide ribosomal RNA is filed under the name uncultured bacterium. RNAcentral's name for it is "partial 16S ribosomal RNA". It matches the Rfam family "Bacterial small subunit ribosomal RNA", at positions 28 to 507 of the family's 1533-position model. The record is from RNAcentral.
GACGAACGCUGGCGGCGUGCUUAACACAUGCAAGUCGAACGAAGAGCGAUGGAAGCUUGCUUCUAUCAAUCUUAGCGGCGAACGGGUGAGUAACGCGUAAUCAACCUGCCCUUCAGAGGGGGACAACAGUUGGAAACGACUGCUAAUACCGCAUACGAUCUAAUCUCGGCAUCGAGGAUAGAUGAAAGGUGGCCUCUACAUGUAAGCUAUCACUGAAGGAGGGGAUUGCGUCUGAUUAGCUAGUUGGAGGGGUAACGGCCCACCAAGGCGAUGAUCAGUAGCCGGGCUGAGAGGAUGAACGGCCACAUUGGGACUGAGACACGGCCCAGACUCCUACGGGAGGCAGCAGUGGGGAAUCUUCCGCAAUGGACGAAAGUCUGACGGAGCAACGCCGCGUGAGCGAUGACGGCCUUCGGGUUGUAAAGCUCUGUUAAUCGGGACGAAAGGCCUUCUUGCGAAUAGUGAGAAGGAUUGACGGUACCGGAAUAGAAAGCCACGGCUAACUACGUG